UAGCUCAGUGGUAGAGCACAUGCUAGCAUGCAUGAGGUCCUGGGUUCAAUCCCCAG
Molecule: transfer RNA, 56 nt
Filed under: Camelus ferus (Wild Bactrian camel)
Lineage: Eukaryota; Metazoa; Chordata; Mammalia; Artiodactyla; Camelidae
Rfam family: tRNA
About the family: Transfer RNA (tRNA) molecules are approximately 80 nucleotides in length. Their secondary structure includes four short double-helical elements and three loops (D, anti-codon, and T loops). Further hydrogen bonds mediate the characteristic L-shaped molecular structure. tRNAs have two regions of fundamental functional importance: the anti-codon, which is responsible for specific mRNA codon recognition, and the 3' end, to which the tRNAs corresponding amino acid is attached (by aminoacyl-tRNA synthetases). tRNAs cope with the degeneracy of the genetic code in two manners: having more than one tRNA (with a specific anti-codon) for a particular amino acid; and 'wobble' base-pairing, i.e. permitting non-standard base-pairing at the 3rd anti-codon position.
Source: Rfam by way of RNAcentral